UGGGGAAUAUUGCACAAUGGGCGCAAGCCUGAUGCAGCCAUGCCGCGUGUAUGAAGAAGGCCUUCGGGUUGUAAAGUACUUUCAGCGAGGAGGAAGGCGGUAAGGUUAAUAACCUUAUCGAUUGACGUUACUCGCAGAAGAAGCACCGGCUAACUCCGUGCCAGCAGCCGCGGUAAUACGGAGGGUGCAAGAGUUAAUCGGAAUUACUGGGCGUAAAGCGCACGCAGGCGGUCUGUCAAGUCGGAUGUGAAAUCCCCGGGCUCAACCUGGGAACUGCAUUCGAAACUGGCAGGCUAGAGUCUUGUAGAGGGGGGUAGAAUUCCAGGUGUAGCGGUGAAAUGCGUAGAGAUCUGGAGGAAUACCGGUGGCGAAGGCGGCCCCCUGGACAAAGACUGACGCUCAGGUGCGAAAGCGUGGGGAGCAAACA
RNAcentral lists this ribosomal RNA (427 nucleotides) under uncultured bacterium. Its description in RNAcentral is "partial 16S ribosomal RNA". It matches the Rfam family "Bacterial small subunit ribosomal RNA", at positions 355 to 774 of the family's 1533-position model. The record is from RNAcentral.